UCCGCGGCGCGCCGCUUCGUGGGGCCGCUCGGCGUGCGCCGCGGUCCUCGUCGAGGGCGUCCUGGGCGCCUACCGCCUGCCGCGCGCCGCCCGCCAGCCCCGCGCGGCGGGGGAGCUCUCCGACGCGGUCACAGCAUCGUCGGGAGCAGAGACCGGGAAACUGAGGCCCAGAGAGCCCUCUGCCCAGGCCGGCUUUAAGUUUCCCAAGAAUGUGGAGCAAAGGUUCCCCCAGCAGGCAAGGACUACCGAGUCUGGCCUGCCAAACCGCCACCUCAAGUCCUGGUUCGGUGCCACCUUCCCUGGACAAUGUUCCAAGACCCCAGGCAAAGCUGUUCCGUGCUGUGUCCCCCAGCAUUGAUCGGCCUUCAGAGAGCUGCAAUUCUGGCCUCAUCAGACUGUAGCAGUCUGUGAUGCUCGGGACUGGCUCCAUCCCUCCUGCCAUCAGAACAGUUGGCAAAGAAGUCACACCGGCAGCUGGGGAGGAGGGCUGUACACCGGGAAGCUGACAGCAAUGGCGCGAAUCUUCUGCUCCAGACCCUCCUGAGCACAGAACCUUCCAAGAGGGCAGGUGCCCAGCACUCUCCACAGGCACCGUUCAUGAUUCUGGGCACACUUGACACUGUGACACCGCCACGCCUUCUUUGCCCAGCCAGACAGCCAGUUCACAGUGAGUCCAUCUCUUCUGAAACUCAGUCCCCUAACAGUACCACUUCCCUGCUACCUGAGACAAAUGAGUUUGUCAUGUAAGACAAGCACCAAAAGAUGGCACAGGCUUACCUAGAUAUCAGUCGUUUGUGUGUCAGGGAAAAAGACACCAGGAAUGUCCUCUCUGACCCCUAACUCCAGUCGUUUACAGCAGAAA
This is a non-coding RNA of Manis javanica (Malayan pangolin), 862 nucleotides long. The record is from RefSeq and is a predicted model, not a curated record. NCBI's taxonomy places the organism in Eukaryota, Metazoa, Chordata, Mammalia, Pholidota, Manidae.